AUAUACGACCAUAGGGUGUGGAAAACAGGGCUUCCCGUCCGCUCAGCCGUACUUAAGCCACACGCCGGUGAGUUAGUAGUUGGGUGGGUGACCACCAGCGAAUCCUCACUGUUGUAUGUU
This 120-nucleotide ribosomal RNA is filed under the name Penicillium italicum. Lineage: Eukaryota; Fungi; Ascomycota; Eurotiomycetes; Eurotiales; Aspergillaceae. The record is from RNAcentral. RNAcentral also lists the same sequence under 1 other name.